UCCCUCCGGCGUGUUAACGUUGCCCAGCAACUUUCGAUAGCAGCCAAACGUUGGCGUCGUUGCCAUGGCUCCAGCCCGGCUGCGCCUUCGGUGGUUGAGAGCCGCCUCUGUGGCGGUGUCGACGGUGAUGAGCUGUCGAGCGCAGCACAAAGACAAGCCCCAACAGCGCCACCCCACGACAUAUAGCACAGUAGCGGCUGUCGCCGUCCGACAGCUUGAACGAAC
This 225-nucleotide long non-coding RNA is filed under the name Salvia miltiorrhiza (redroot sage). Its description in RNAcentral is "long non-coding RNA (SMIL_LNC001106)". Lineage: Eukaryota; Viridiplantae; Streptophyta; Magnoliopsida; Lamiales; Lamiaceae. The record is from RNAcentral.